RNAcentral lists this unclassified non-coding RNA (330 nucleotides) under soil metagenome. Its description in RNAcentral is "partial contains 5.8S ribosomal RNA, internal transcribed spacer 2, and large subunit ribosomal RNA". The stretch from base 1 to 120 matches the Rfam family "5.8S ribosomal RNA", at positions 35 to 154 of the family's 154-position model. The record is from RNAcentral.
GAUGAAGAACGUAGCGAAAUGCGAUAAGUAAUGUGAAUUGCAGAAUUCAGUGAAUCAUCGAAUCUUUGAACGCGCAUUGCGCCCCUUGGUAUUCCGAGGGGCAUGCCUAUUCGAGCGUCAUUAUCACCCCUCAAGCCUAGCUUGGUGUUGAGGCCUGCUGUCAAGGCAGCCUCUAAAAUCAGUGGCAGUGCUGUCAGGCUCUAAGCGUAGUAAAUCUAAUCGCUAUAGACACCUGGUGGACACUCGCCAGAACCCCCCCCAUUUUUUAAUGAUUGACCUCGGAUUAGGUAGGGAUACCCGCUGAACUUAAGCAUAUCAAUAAGCGGAGGA